ACUCUGACCCAGCGACGCCGCGUGCGGGAUGAAGGCCUUCGGGUUGUAAACCGCUUUCAGCAGGGAAGAAGCGAAAGUGACGGUACCUGCAGAAGAAGCACCGGCUAACUAUGUGCCAGCAGCCGCGGUAAUACGA
Molecule: ribosomal RNA, 136 nt
Filed under: uncultured bacterium
Lineage: Bacteria
Description: partial 16S ribosomal RNA
Rfam family: Bacterial small subunit ribosomal RNA
Source: RNAcentral